GAUAGACAUGGCAGAGUAGAUACAAGAUCAUGGUGAAUUUGGUAAAAAAAAAAAUGGUUAACGAUGGGGGCAACUUCCGAUGGAAAAUCACUUCUCACGUGACACUCGUUGGCAUGCUUUUCUCACCGAAACAAUCGUAUUGACUUACGCAUCAAAAGAUAAUAAUGGGAUACCUAUAUAUCAGGAACACGUGCGGGUGGGAAAAAACGAAAACUAGUUUCGAUCGACGAUGAGUACCUAUACAAUUUAAUAUUCAAUUAUACUGUUUAAACAGUCCAAAUUUUUCGAGUUGUGUGGACAGUCAUUAAAAAAUUUUGUUGAAGUGAAAUACGCAACGUGAUGAAAUUCCAAGUAUUGAUACUUAUUCUCCACUUAUCAGUGGCAGUUCUAUUAUCAAUUUUACCAACAACCAUCACCAGCUCACCAGUGGAAGAGAGAGAUGAUCUGAGAAGUGAAAUUUCAAAUAAAUACUUGGUUGAAAAUCACCGACCCACGUGCUGCUUCAGAAAUCCAAAAUGUCGAAGGCGAUGCGUGGGAUAAAGAUUUGAAAAGAGCAGGAAAAUAAUCAAAAAAAUUAAUAGCUUAAUUUUUCAAUUUUUUUUAUAAAUUAGCGAUAGAUAUUAUUAUUAAAUUUCAAUAUAUGUACGUUCAACGUUCAUUUUUGUCUUCAGUAUCACCACAUCACUACAAUAUUGAUUUAAGUAGGCAGACCUGAUUUUAAACAUUUCUAUGGUUAAGCAGUUAAGCACAUGUACCUAAUCCUUUAUUCCUUGUUUCAUUAUAGGUACCUAGUUUUCAAGUACCUACUUAAAUAUACCUUUAUAUCUGUAUCUUAUUAUGAAAAUAAACUGACCAAAAAUCA
Planococcus citri (citrus mealybug) is the source of this 862-nucleotide long non-coding RNA. RefSeq lists it as uncharacterized. The record is from RefSeq and is a predicted model, not a curated record. NCBI's taxonomy places the organism in Eukaryota, Metazoa, Arthropoda, Insecta, Hemiptera, Pseudococcidae. The transcript has 2 exons.